RNAcentral lists this ribosomal RNA (559 nucleotides) under uncultured bacterium. RNAcentral's name for it is "partial 16S ribosomal RNA". It matches the Rfam family "Bacterial small subunit ribosomal RNA", at positions 356 to 920 of the family's 1533-position model. The record is from RNAcentral.
UGGGGAAAUUGCACAAUGGGCGAAAGCCUGAUGCAGCGACGCCGCGUGAGGGAUGACGGCCUUUGGGUUGUAAACCUCUUUCAGCAGGGAAGAAGCGAAAGUGACGGUACCUGCAGAAGAAGCGCCGGCUAACUACGUGCCAGCAGCCGCGGUAAUACGUAGGGCGCAAGCGUUGUCCGGAAUUAUUGGGCGUAAAGAGCUCGUAGGCGGUUAAGUCGCGUCUGCUGUGGAAAAACUCGAGGCUCAACCUCGGGACUUGCAGUGGGUACGGGCUGACUAGAUGCGGUAGGGGUGACUGGAAUUCCUGGUGUAGCGGUGGAAUGCGCAGAUAUCAGGAGGAACACCGAUGGCGAAGGCAGGUCACUGGGCCGCAACUGACGCUGAGGAGCGAAAGCAUGGGGGACGAACAGGGGUUAGAUACCCUGGUAGUCCAUGCCGUAAACGUUGGGCACUAGGUGUGGGGUCCAUUUCCACGGAUUCCGUGCCGCAGCAAACGCAUUAAGUGCCCCGCCUGGGGAGUACGGCCGCAAGGCUAAAACUCAAAGGAAUUGACGGGGUC